CAAAGUUUUGGUCCUAGACCUCCCAUUAUCUAUUAUCAAAAUUAUACAUGCAAACCUCCCCAAACCAGUGAAAAUGCCCACCACGGAGCAGGUAUCAGGCACACAUCUCAUUCACGUAGCCAAAGACGCCUAGCCAAACAGGCCACGCCCCCACGGGACCCAGCAGUAAUAAACAUUAAGCAAUAAGCGAAUAUCAACAGCUUGACUUAGUUAUGAUAAAAAGGGCUGGUAAAUUUCGUGCCAGCCACCGCGGUUACACGAAAAGCCCAAAAUAAUGAUUAUCGGCGUAAAGCGUGACUAAUAGUAAAUGUUCCAAAAGAAAUACAAACCCCCUCUAAGUUAUAAAACACACCAAGAGAACAGGAAGCCCCAAAUUUCACCACAAAACACCUUUGACUCACGAAAACUAAGAUACAAACUAGGAUUAGAUACCCUACUAUGCUUAGCCGUAAACAUAGAUCUUUAUAAACACCACGAUCCGCCAGAGAAUUACUAGUGAAAAACUUAAAACUCAAAGGACUUGACGGUAUCUCAUAUCAGCCUAGAGGAGCCUGUCCUAUAAUCGAUACCCCACGAAAAACCUCACCCCCAUUCGCACAUUCAGCCUAUAUACCGCCGUCGUCAGCUUACCUUAUGAAAGACCCCAAGUAAGCACAAAAGCCCAACCACAAAAACGUCAGGUCAAGGUGUAGCACAUAUGGCGGGAAGAGAUGGGCUACAUUUCCUAAAAGGACACACAAGAUACUGCCCUGAAUAAAGCAUAAUACGGUGGAUUUAGUAGUAAGCACAAGUAAGAAAGCUUGUCUGAAACUUGCUCUGAGAUGCGUACACACCGCCCGUCACCCUCCUCAGCAAAAAACACACACUCCAUAAACCAACACUAAUAGCACAGAUGAGGCAAGUCGUAACAUGGUAAGCGUACUGGAAAGUGCGCUUGGCUCA
RNAcentral lists this non-coding RNA (942 nucleotides) under Delma tincta. Its description in RNAcentral is "12S ribosomal RNA". It matches the Rfam family "Bacterial small subunit ribosomal RNA". The record is from RNAcentral. Lineage: Eukaryota; Metazoa; Chordata; Lepidosauria; Squamata; Pygopodidae.